CUCAUGAUAAGCUCUCACAUGGAAAUGAUGAAUAGUUGCUCUGCCAUGACUAGUUCUCAAAAUUGCAAUCUCUCUCAAGUUUAGGCAUGACUGUUAUGAAUUAAGAUUUGCUCUAAACCAGAACUUGUGGGAAGAGUACAUGAUCAAAAAUCUAAGUCGUUAACAGAUAUGAUAUGGGAAGGAUGAGCUGCUGUUUAUCUGUUCCUAGAGAUACUAGAAUUCUAGAGAAUUUUAUCUUUGAAAAUCUUUAAAAUGUUGCAUGAUGAGUUCCUGUAUGAUGAGAGUUUAAAAUCCUACCACCGCCAUAUAUACAUGCUUAUUAGACAAUGAACCAUAUAUUUAUUUUUUACUGCUUAUGAGCAUUGAGUGUGGUCAAGCUAUGUAGACCCUUAGAGCUUAUCUUGCGGUUAAAAUCAAGAUUCACUUGCACGUUCACUCAUAAAUGCUGCUUCUACUCUGGAAGUAUGCAUCCACAUACAUCCACUCAUUUCCAUCUCCAGAUUCACCCAAAAUUAUUCUACUCCUAUCCAGGAGAGAAUAGCCAAAAACAUUAUCCUAUCCUUGCUAUUCCCCGUGAAAUAAGUGCUCGAGAUAUUUUGGUUACUACCACUGCUACAUUAUUCUAGGAGGGUGAGUGCUCUGAAAAAAAAGAAGUGAAUACGAGGAAAUAAAAAGGGGCAAGUGCCCGGAACCUCGAAGAAAAGAAAAAGAGAGACGAGAGGUAAAAAUGGACAAGUGUCCGACAGUAGAAUUAAGGGUACAAGAUACCCACCUAAGAGAAAAGAAAAAGAAAAUAUAGAGCAUCUCACUCUCCUCAAAAAGCUUCAAAGUGCAAGAAAGGUAUGUAUCCCCUAAAAAGAGCAAAAGUAUAAUUAGACUUUCACCUUUGUUAUCACCAUCAUCACCAUACACCAUUCAUUCGCCACACAUGCACAUCUUGAUUGGACUUAUUAAUAAAUGUCUUGUAAGUAUGUAUUAUCUGUCUCCCGCCUAUGAGCUCCUGAUAUCAAAACCUUAUUAGAGUAGGGUGAGAGAGAAGGCAAUAUCACUAUGCCUCAUACCAAAAAUACCACAUACUGUGAGAGAAGGCAUAUACCAUUAUUGCCUUGGAAAGGAUCCAGAAAUACCACAAAAG
This 1135-nucleotide long non-coding RNA is filed under the name Sorghum bicolor (sorghum). Its description in RNAcentral is "long non-coding RNA (SBIC_LNC006745)". The record is from RNAcentral. Lineage: Eukaryota; Viridiplantae; Streptophyta; Magnoliopsida; Poales; Poaceae.